UCCCUGUUACCAGGGCAGUCUGAGUAGAAAAAUUCAACUACUCACAAGGGUUGCGCUCGUUGAUGGACUUAACCAAACAUCUCACGACACGAGCUGACGACGGCCAUGCAACACCUGUCACUUGGUUCAAAAUGCACUCUCUCCUUUCGGAAAGAUUCCAAGGAUGUCAAGCCUGGGUAAGGUUCUUCGCUUACCAUCGAAUUAAACAACACGCUCCACCGCUUGUGCGGGUCCCCGUCAAUUCCUUUAUGUUUUAGUCUUGCGACCGUACUCCACAGGCGGGAUGCUUAACGCGUUAGCUUCGCUACAUCCGGGGUCGAUACCGAAUACAGCUAGCAUCCAUAGUUUACGGCGUGGACUAC
Molecule: unclassified non-coding RNA, 362 nt
Filed under: uncultured bacterium
Lineage: Bacteria
Description: contains 16S-23S intergenic spacer region
Source: RNAcentral